Molecule: RNA transcript, 3748 nt
Organism: Cucumis melo (muskmelon)
Lineage: Eukaryota; Viridiplantae; Streptophyta; Magnoliopsida; Cucurbitales; Cucurbitaceae
Gene name: exportin-2
Exons: 3
Source: RefSeq, a predicted model, not a curated record
UGAUUGUUUGAAGAUGAAAAACCUCUAAAACCACAGCCCAAACUUUCCCUCCUCAGAAACGGCCCCUUUCGACUUUCGAUUCUCUUCUUCCAUUUCGUCUUCCCUUUCAAAAUCGACCUUCAAAUUGAAUCAUCGCUCUCAAAAUUCACCAAUCCCUUGCGGACUCCCAUCUUAAAUCAAUCUCACCUAUAGAUUUGGGUUCGCCCAUUCCUUUUUGCGCGCAAUGGAGUGGAACCCAGAAACCCUACAGCUCCUCUCUCAGUGUUUUCUUCACACUCUUUCUCCAGCCCCUGGCCCCCGCCGCAGUGCUGAAGCUUCUCUUGCUGAAGCCGCCGACCGUCCCAACUACGGUCUUGCUGUUCUUCGUCUCGUCGCUGAACCAUCUGUCGAUGAACAGAUCCGUCAAGCCGCCGCCGUCAACUUCAAAAAUCAUUUACGGGUUCGAUGGGCACCUGGUGCGCCCGACGAGUCAAAUGCUUCUCCUUUGGGUCCGAUUCCCGAUUCUGAGAAGGAACAAAUUAAAGCCCUAAUUGUCCCGCUUAUGCUAUCCUCUACUCAACGAAUCCAGAGUCAGCUGAGCGAGGCUUUGGCUUUGAUUAGUAAACACGACUUCCCGAAAUCGUGGCCUUCUUUGCUACCGGAGCUCGUUGUAAGUCUGCAAAAGGCGUCUCAGGCUUCCGACUAUGCAUCUGUUAACGGUAUUCUUGGUACUGCAAAUUCUAUAUUUAAAAAGUUUCGGUAUCAAUAUAAAACCAAUGAUCUUUUGCUUGAUUUGAAGUAUUGUCUGGACAAUUUUGCGGCACCCUUAUUAGAAUUUUUUCUUAAAACUGCUGCUUUAAUUGAUUCUGCGGUGAACUCGGGCGCACUGGCGGCCACCUUGCGGCCACUGUUCGAGUCCCAGAGGCUUUGUUGUAGAAUAUUUUUCUCGUUGAAUUUUCAAGAGCUUCCCGAGUUCUUCGAGGAUCAUAUGAAAGAAUGGAUGGGUGAAUUCCGGAAAUAUCUAACUACGAAUUAUCCUGCACUUGAAAACAGUGGUACCGAUGGGGUUGCUCUGGUUGAUGAGCUUCGUGCUGCAGUUUGCGAGAAUAUUAAUCUUUAUAUGGAAAAGAAUGAAGAAGAGUUUCAGGGGUACUUAAAUGAUUUUGCACUGGCAGUUUGGGGCUUACUCGGGAACGUAUCUCAGUCGUCAAGCCGAGACCAGCUGGCUGUUACGGCAAUGAAGUUUUUGACUACUGUUAGCACGAGUGUACACCACACUUUAUUUGCAGGCGAGGGAGUGAUACCUGAGAUUUGUAAGAGCAUAGUAAUUCCCAAUGUAAGGCUGAGGGAUGAAGAUGAGGAACUAUUUGAUAUGAACUAUGUGGAAUUCAUUAGGAGGGACAUGGAAGGUAGCGAUUUGGAUACUAGGAGGAGGAUAGCUUGUGAGCUUCUCAAAGGAAUUGCAACCAAUUACAAAAAACAGGUGACAGACAUGGUAUCCUCUCAGAUUCAAAACUUACUAAAUUCAUUUGGGCUAAAUCCUGCUCUGAAUUGGAAAGAUAAAGAUUGUGCCAUAUAUUUGGUUGUCUCACUUUCCACAAAGAAAGCUGGGGGUUCUUCUGUUUCCACCGAUCUUGUUGAUGUUCAAAAUUUCUUUGGCUCAGUAAUUAUUCCAGAAUUGAAAAAUUCUGAUGUUAAUGGUCUACCAAUGCUCAAGGCAGGGGCGCUCAAGUUCCUUGCUGUGUUCCGUAAUCUGAUAUCAAAACCUAUUGCGUUACAAAUGUUUCCUGAUUUGGUUCGAUUCCUUGGUUCUGAGUCAAAUGUGGUUCAUUCCUAUGCUGCAAUUUGUGUUGAAAAAUUAUUGCUGGUCAAGGAGGAUUCAGGUGUGGCCAGGUAUAACUCUUUGGAUAUUGCUCCAAUUUUUCCUGAGAUGAUGACUAAACUCUUCAAUGCCUUUAAGUUUCCCGAAUCUGAAGAGAACCAGUACAUUAUGAAGUGUAUAAUGAGAGUUCUUGGAGUUGCUGACAUAUCUCGUGAGGUUGCUGGACCGUGCAUUGUUGGGUUGACUUCUAUUUUGAAUGAAGUGUGCAGAAACCCCAAAAAUCCUGUUUUUAACCACUAUAUGUUUGAAUCUGUGGCCCUUCUGAUUAGAAGGGCUUGUGAAAGGGAUCCCUCUUUAAUAUCACAUUUUGAGACAAACCUAUUUCCCAGCCUUCAAAUGAUUCUAGCCAAUGAUGUUACGGAGUUCUUCCCUUAUGCUUUUCAACUGUUGGCACAACUUGUUGAAUUGAAUAAUCCUCCUAUUCCAGCAAGCUAUGUUCAGAUUUUUGAGAUCCUACUGUCACCCGAAUCAUGGAAAAGAGCCUCUAAUGUCCCAGCACUUGUACGGUUACUUCAGGCUUUCCUCCAGAAGGCACCUCAUGAACUUAAUCAAGUUGGGCGCCUGAGCCAGGUUCUUGGAAUAUUUAGUAAUCUAGUCUCAUCUCCAAGCACUGCAGAGCAAGGCUUUUAUGUGCUCAACACUGUUAUCGAUUCUCUUGAAUACAGUGUGAUUGAACAGUACAUUGGCCACAUCUGGGCUGUUCUUUUUGGACAGCUCCAAAGUAGACGGACAGUAAAGUUCAUCAAAUCACUUUUGAUAUUCAUGUCCCUUUUUCUUGUUAAACACGGUCAAAAAAAUCUGUUGGAUACUAUCAACUGUGUUCAGAACGGCAUCUUUAUCCAGAUCUUGAGGCAGUUUUGGAUACCUAAUCUUAAACUAAUAACUGGGGCCAUUGAACUGAAGUUAUCUGCAGUUGCUUCAACCAGACUUAUCUGUGAGUGUCCAGCACUUUUGGAUCCUGCAUUUGUUGAAGACUGGGGGAAAAUGCUGGAUAGCAUUGUUACCCUUCUUUCUCGACCUGAACAGGAGAGGGUUGAUGAGGAGCCAGAGAUGCCCGAUAUUUCUGAAAAUGUUGGUUAUAGUGCAAGCUUUGUUCGUCUAUACAAUGCAGGGAAGAAGGAGGAUGAUCCUCUGAAAGAUAUUAAGGAUCCAAAGCAAUUUCUGGUAGCAUCUUUGUCUAAGCUUUCUAGCCUUUCUCCUGGGAGAUAUCCCCAAGUCAUCAGUCAGUAUCUUGACCCGACAAAUCAAUCUGCAUUGCUUCAGUUUUGCAGAUCUUAUAAUUGCCCAAUUGCUUGACAACCUGUUGGGAUGUGGGAAUGAAUAUUAUUUAUUUGCUGCUCAAGCUAUUCAACCUUCUGCUCUGAAGUUGGAGAUGAAAUCAAUCAACAUGCUUAACUGACCUAAUUACGUAUCUUCAUGAUUUUGUGCUGAAUUGAAGCAGGUUUUUGUGGAGAAGUUGAUCUUUAAUCAUAUUUACCUCUUGGUGUUGUUCCGACUUGGUGACCAAAUUCAAAUUUUAGAUCAUCGUUGGCUUCUACAAAGUGUGGUAUGAUGUGGAAGAUUCUGCUAGUUCGAGUUGGCGGGUGAGGCCAUCAAACACAGUUUACCAAGUUUUGGUACAAGACUUCCAUCCCCUUCAUUCUCUUUAUGUUGUCAUGUUUACCUGUCUGUCAUUUUGUGCAUGCAUUCAUGUGAGCAAAUUUGUAGAUGGUUCAUUGCGGUCUAAGAGUGUAUUAUGGCAUCGAGUUUUUGCUUUCUCUUUUGCUCCUACGUUGAAAUUUCCUUUGUCAUUUUGACAUCACAUGUAAGCACUUGUAUCUCAUUGCUCGAUAUCCAACUGCAAGUUUAUAUAUCAGUUGUUUAUUGUGGCUGUGGUUGGUGUAGAAA